RNAcentral lists this ribosomal RNA (293 nucleotides) under uncultured eukaryote. Its description in RNAcentral is "partial 18S ribosomal RNA". It matches the Rfam family "Eukaryotic small subunit ribosomal RNA", at positions 6 to 317 of the family's 1831-position model. The record is from RNAcentral.
GGUUGAUCCUGCCAGUAGUGAUAUGCUUGUCUCAAAGAUUAAGCCAUGCAUGUGUAAGUAUAAACUCAGGGAGUGAAACUGCGAAUGGCUCAUUAAAUCAGCAAUAAUUUACAUGACAGUCGGUACUACAUGGAUACCUGUGGUAAUUCUAGAGCUAAUACAUGCGCAAACGCCCGACUGCAGGAAGGGCGGUAUUUAUUAGAUCAAACCAGCCUGGGCAACCAGACAGUGGUGAUUCAUGGUAACAGAUGGAAUCCCCGCGGGGAUGUGUCAUUCAAAUUUCUGCCCUAUCA